UUAGUUUCAUUUUUAGAUUUAUUUCUUUUAUGAAUUUUUUGAACUUUCUUGUCAAGGAUGCCAAAUCAUCAUCAUAGUCCUCAUCACUUGAACUUUAUUUCAAGUGGUCUUCAUGAGUUCUUAGUGCCAUAUCCUUCUUGUUCUUUUGAAGGUUGUUCUCAAGCUCUUCAUGAGCAUUGCAAAUCAUCUAAUAGGUCAUUAACAACUCG
RNAcentral lists this long non-coding RNA (209 nucleotides) under Musa acuminata (dwarf banana). Its description in RNAcentral is "long non-coding RNA (MACU_LNC010003)". The record is from RNAcentral. Lineage: Eukaryota; Viridiplantae; Streptophyta; Magnoliopsida; Zingiberales; Musaceae.